AGAGAAAAAGAAUGACGAAAGGAGAAAUAAAGACAAAAUUUUUGAGCUGUGCCUUUAAAGAAUGCAAAAACAUUCCAGAAGUGGGAUGGACUUGAAUUCAUCAGUGCACUAGUUUGAGAAACGAAACUGAAACAUUUCAGCAAAAAACAAGGAAGUGUUUUCUCCCCUCUAAGACAGUUCCUUACUCUAAAGUCCAAUUAUUUAUUGGGUUUAGCCAGAGAGCAAUUCAUUUUUAAGACGGGAAACAUGACAUCUUUUCCUUUAAGACCCCAGGAGAGAAGCCAACACACCCGUUCUGAGCUCUCUGGAACCAAACAAAAUGACUUUUUUACAUUUUCAUUUUUUUUAGGUUUGUGAGGCAGAUGAUAACAGAAGUCCAGGGUCCUGGGAGGAUCAUUUGUUAGCAGACUACUGGAAAUUAUCUUGGGCUGUCCUGGGCAUGGUACCGCAGGCUGCUGACUGCUGCUAGCAUGCUUUGUCUCUGCUAAGCAAGCUAUAGACAGGUCUCAGACAAUGGUCUGAAGAUAUGAAAUGUGCAGUGUUUCUCUAAAAAUGCCACUUGUGUCAGACACCACUCAACAAUUUCUGCUUACCACCUAAAAAGAACGAAGACUGAAUUGAAGGGUAAUUCAUAUGGCUUUGGUACCAGUAGCCAGGAGAAUGCUGAGAGAGAAGGAGUUUACUUAUCCCAACCCAAAUAUCAUGUGGACCUGGUAGAGUUUCUACUGAGGGGGAGGUUGGAGCAGUUCCAGUGGCUUCCUUCCCAAGAAAUCCUUCCAUCUUAAUAUCAGUGGAUAUGGAUUGUUAUGGAUAUGGAUUGUUAUAAUACAACUUAAGAAAUGUGAAAAGUAUGAACUGAUCCAAGAUGUCAAAAUAAAAGAGUCAAAGGGAGUCA
This 895-nucleotide long non-coding RNA is filed under the name Monodelphis domestica (gray short-tailed opossum). Its description in RNAcentral is "lncRNA (ENSMODG00000048932.1)". Lineage: Eukaryota; Metazoa; Chordata; Mammalia; Didelphimorphia; Didelphidae. The record is from RNAcentral.